AGGUCAUGACAGCAGAGCUCUCAUGAAUGAGAUUAACGCCCUUAUAAGAUCCAAGAGACACAACUCAGUUUUUUUUCAGCCACAUAAGGAUACAAAGAGAAGUCAGCAGUCUGCAACCCAGAAGAGGGCCUUCACCAGAACUCAAUCAUGUUGGCAGACUUCCAGCUUCCAGAACUGUGAGAAAUAAAUAUUUAUUGUUUAAGUCACGCUGAAUAUGGUUGCUAUAGCAACCUGAGUUGACUAAGACACCAGGUGACUCCUAUUUACACAGCAAUAGACAACCAACAUACCAAGUGACCCAGAUGCAGAGUAGCAGGCCCUAGCCUGGACCACACCUUCAGAACCACUGACCCAAAUCAAGCAUGAUGCUCAGCCAAGGUCCUGGAAUUUACCCCAGGUUCCAAACAAGAGAUCAGAUCGCAGCAUUGAGGCAGGUCGUCCGCCAUCGGGGUUUUGGAGAAUGCUCUCUGACCCCUUGCCUCUAUAUAUGAACCAACAAAUAUUAAACGCUCAUUGUGUGUGAAAGACUGAACAAGGACUAUGUGAAGACAGAAGGCUACCAGACCAGCCAAAGAACCUAGAAGGGAAGAAAGGAAAAGUUUUCCAGCCCUACAGUUGGUGACCAGAAAGAGACCUUCACUGGCUGGACACUGCUUUCUCCUGGACAAAUGCAGCUGAGAGAUCCUGGGAACUCUGACAAGAGCCUGCAGAGAUAUAAGGAAAUCUUUCAUCUUAAGCUAACUAUGACCUACACCAAUUUGGGAGAAGCGCUAAAUACAAGUGCCACAGAAGGUCAAAGGAAGGAGUCUGCCAAGAGCUGGCACGGGAUAAGCAGAGGUGGAGCAAACACUGCAGACCCAUGGAGAUUAAGAAGGACCUUAGAGAGAAGAUCCUGUCUGCAAGGCAGGACAUGGCAGGGGGGCUGGAGGGGUGGGGGAAGGUGAUGGGGGCAGGCAGUGGAGGCAACACAGACAGAAUACAGAGUGUCAAAGAUAAAGCUGGACACUAGUUAAAGUGUUAAGGACAGAUCUUAAUCAGUAAUAUACUAUUGCAACAAGGAGAAGAGUCCAGCGUGAACUGAACUCAACUUCAACUUGUACAGAGGUGACUGGGCAUUUUAAAGGGAGGGAAUGGGGAAGGGGUGAGUGGGGGCUCAGUAGAGUCAGGAAGUGAAAAAUCACAAAAAGCAGGAAGGAGGGUUGGUCCACGUGAAACCCAUCUGGUUUUGCUAACUGGCUCUUAUCAAAGUUCGCCUCCUCUCCUGCCACAGAGCUGAGGAGACAGGGGCUCUAUUUUCAGAUGUUGGCUGGAACAAAUAGUAAAUUCUUUCAACAGCCUUGAGUUUUCUCAGACAGGCACUUGAAGAGGGGCUAGGGUCAUCCUAGGGAUGCGGCCUUGAGCUGUUAGCAACCAUGCUAGUGUUUGUUCAAGUCUUCAUAGGCCAAGGUUGAGGCCUAGUGGAGAGGAGGGCUCAGAGGAUCCUGGCUGGAGUUUGACCAAGGAGAGAGUCUGUCAGAGGGCAGCUCUAGCCAGCUGACCUGGCAUUGACAGAGUUCUCUACAUAGAAGAGCAGUAGAUUGGGUUGAUAAUGACAGAUAAACCAGACUGGUGAUUUUAACUCUCCUUUAGCAAGAGGGUAAGCACCAGUCUCAAUUUGCCCAAGACUGAGUGGUUUCCCAGGAUGGGAGACAUUUGGUGCUAAAAUGCGGAAAAUCAGGCAAAUAGGGACCCAUCAAUCAUCAUCCUACUUGGAGGCAUCAGGAACCUGGGAAAGGUUAUUGAGCAGGAAGGCAGCGUGUGUAAGAACUAGUGGUGUCAGGUGAUUCCUCCAGCUGUGAAACAUUAAAGACCCACUCUCUCCCCCACCCCCGCAUGCACCCCCCCAAGCCUCGCUGGCAGUUUAGCAGGCGUCACUGCACCCUGUGUGCUUAUUACCGCACCCUGGCAUGUUAGCUCUGGGCAUCUUAGUUUUCCACUCAGUUUCUAAGCUGAGAUGGGUCUCUCUCCUCUGCUUUGGGAACAUCAAACACACAACACUGGACUUCAGGAAUUGUUGGAGACUGUCAGAACACUCACUGCUGGAUCUGCAUUUAAAGAACAUUAAGGAAUUUGACUCCAGAGGCAGAAGGACUGGGUUGGAAUUCCCUCACCACAAUAUCUAGCCAUGUGACCCUGUGCACUGUGUUCCUUUCCCUAAGCGUCAGCCUCCUCAUCUGUAAAAUAGAGAUAAAAACACCACCCAUCUCACGGAGUGAGUGUGAGAAUUCAAUGAGAUUAAGCAUGAAAGGUCCUUAACAGGGUGCCUGGAAUGCAUCACACAUUCCGUGAGUAGCAGCUAUGGUUAGAAUUGCGGUGGCUGUUUUGUUGUUAAGCAUGGAAAAGUGGCACAAUUUUAUCCAUAGUGUUUAAAGGUCAACAUCCUGAAAUAUUUCCACCAGGUUAGAUUUUCAGGUGAAAUAAACAAACGUGAGGAAUCUGUCAUAUAAACACAACUUGACCCUCAGUCCCUUAGGCUUAUGUAAUGGCCACUUGGAGAUUUUUAGAAAAACAAAGUAGACUAGUGAAAAAUGCCUGUAUUGCUCCUGGGUGCCAUCCAUCAGCAGGAGAGGCCUCACCCCUGAUUUUAUUUUCCAUGUUAGGGGAAGGCCAAAAGAAGGGGAACAAAAUCCAAUUAACAAAAGCAUAAUUGAUUUCAGAAACUCAUGAACAAGGAGCAUCAUUCUUGCUCUUCAAGCAAAGCUCUAUCAGCAUUGAGUGUGGUUAACAACAGAGAGGUAAAACAUUUAUUUAUUAAUUUUUUUAAAAUAUGCUCCUCUUUUAAAGCCUCAGGAAUGAAGUAAAAUCAAAUCACUCUGUAAAAUAUUGACACUGGAUUAUUGCUGCAGUAAUGAGCAAAAUCCAAAUGAGCAGCACAGCAAGGCACCUGUCAAGGGCCCCUGAGCCCAAGGAGGCUUUGCAAAGGGGGCAGGGCGAGCAGCAGGCACAGGACCCUUUAAAACACAGGAGCAUGUCCAGGCCACAGCAAGGGCACCUCCACCUGGCCCACCCUGCCCCCUGGACUCACAGCCCAGAGAAUCCUGGGUUUGUCACUUGCAAAUUUUAGUACCAGACUUGACCUCUCUAAAGCCUCAGUCUUCUCAGCUGUACAAUGGGGAAGACAAUACUCACUGCCCAGGAUUAUUCUGAAGAUUAAGAGGACAUGCACACAAAGUCCUUAGUUCAGUGCCUGGCACUCAGCGAGCAUCCAACGACUUUUUCUUCUGUCUUCUGAAUCUCUUAGUCCCCCUGACUCUUCUAGACCACCAACUCACACCUUUUCCCAGAACAUUUUGGUGUUACUUUAGCAAUUAUGUCUCAUUUCAUUAGUAUAUGCUUUUCCAACCUAACAACAGGGUAAAUUCUUUAAAGCCAGAGAUGGUUGAUUAUUUAAUAAAUACAUAGCAUGUAUGUGCCAAUCUUGACUCUAAGUCUCUACAAACAUUGACUUAAGUCCUCAGAACAACACUGUGAGGUCAGUACUGUUAGAUUCCUGUGUUACAGAUCAGGAAACUGAGGCAGAGACAGAUUCUGUAACUUGCCAAAGUUGUUGUGUUGAGAUUUGAACUCAUGAGGGCUGGCUCCAGAGACCAUGCUCUUAACCAUCAGACCCUCUGUAUUCUAGACUUCUGUGACCCACUACCACAUGGAAGACCUUCAACAAAGACCCAUCAGUGGAAAGAUGAUUUACUCAACAAGUACCAUCAGUGGAAAGAUGAUUUAGUCAACAAGUACCAUUUUGCACAUGAGGAAACUGAAAAACAGUGAGGUUACAUAGUUUGUCCUGAGUCAGAAAGACAACUUGGAAGCAGAUUAUAGCCCAAAAUGUCAGAUCCCUAGUGGCUUGUUCUUUCUGCCACACCAUCCUGACAGGCUUUUGAAGGAAGAGCUGCCCACUGAUGGAAAGAAAGGAGAGGAAGUCACGUGAACGAGCCUUUGUCCAUGAUCCCACACCUGGGCCAGGUGAAGCCCACACUUCUCUAACCAUGACCCCAUCCACCAUGUCCCAAAUGGGGUCUUCACACUUUGGGUCAGCAUUAACUACUUACUAGCUUUUAUUUAUUUUGAGGAACACUUAGAGUGUGGCAUAUACACGAGAGCCAGCUGAACCUGAAGACACAGGCUACUGGCAGGUCAUGCAAGUGAAGUGGAGGCCCAGCCCAGAUGCCUCACAGGCUCUGCUUGGGGCAAGCGUUCACCAACUUCAAAUAAGCAUCUCAAGUACAGGAGGCUUUCCAAACCAAAUUCUGCUUCUGGAAUGCUGCAAAAGUUUCUUUCAGGUAUCAUUUCUACAUCUUUUCACAAUUCCAUAAAUUAGUUUUUAAAAAUUCAAGAGAAUAAAUCCAUAAUUUUAACCCUUUCUAGUCUAUCAACCCUUUCUAGUCUAUCAAAGUGUUAUGUGCUGCCAGGAAAACUCAUUUUGUAUGGACCUGAGCACAGUCUCAGGGGCCAGGGGCCCAGGUUUGAAUCUCAGCUCCUGAGCUUGACAGUUGUGGGACGCUCGGCUUUGUACCUCAGUGUCCUCGUACUUAAAAGGAUAAUAAUCAUAGUACCUACUUCAUAGGCUUAU
This is a non-coding RNA of Equus caballus (horse), 4606 nucleotides long. Lineage: Eukaryota; Metazoa; Chordata; Mammalia; Perissodactyla; Equidae. The record is from RefSeq and is a predicted model, not a curated record.